RNAcentral lists this ribosomal RNA (253 nucleotides) under uncultured bacterium. Its description in RNAcentral is "partial 16S ribosomal RNA". It matches the Rfam family "Bacterial small subunit ribosomal RNA", at positions 524 to 776 of the family's 1533-position model. The record is from RNAcentral.
GACAGAGGGUGCAAACGUUGCUCGGAAUUACUGGGCGUAAAGCGCGUGUAGGUGGAUUGGUGUGUCAGAUGUGAAAUCCCUGGGCUCAACCCAGGAACUGCACCUGAAACUACCAGUCUUGAGUGGUGGAGAGGGAAGUGGAAUUCCUGGUGUAGAGGUGAAAUUCGUAGAUAUCAGGAGGAACACCAGUGGCGAAGGCGGGUCUCUGGACAGUUCCUGACGCUGAGGCACGAAGGCCAGGGGAGCAAACGGG